Long non-coding RNA from Magallana angulata, 2318 nucleotides. RefSeq lists it as uncharacterized. The transcript has 4 exons. The record is from RefSeq and is a predicted model, not a curated record. NCBI's taxonomy places the organism in Eukaryota, Metazoa, Mollusca, Bivalvia, Ostreida, Ostreidae.
AUUAAUAGCUAUUCCAACUCCCAAAUCCUUUAGUCAGUUUAGAGGUAAAGGUCUGAUGUUACCUGUAGUUUUUGGAAGUCACGAAAAUAACUUUAAGAAGUUAAAAACAAUGUUUACACAUAAAAGAGAUAAGGUUACCUUUGGGUAAUAAAUGCACAUUUUUUAAUCCAAAUCCGGGCAAUGAAAAGUUUCCAAUUUUUUUAAACUUAUUUAGAACUGAAGAGCUUGCACGGUCAUGUCGGUGCUCUUUACUAUUAAACCCAACCCAGGCAAAUGGUCAAGUAUCAAUAAAUAUUUUCUGCUGUAAAAUCAUAAAUAUUUCAUGAAAAGUAGUAUUAUAAAUCUGCCAAAAAAACAUGAUAAAAUGGGGGCUGGAGACCGUAAAUUGUUCAUUCUUACUCUUGUGACCGCUGGAUAUACAGAAAAUGCAGAUAUCUGCAUUCUAAGGACUUUGUGUUUUGGUCCUUUUAGGCCUAGGGUGCUGACAAAACAUUUGAAGUUUAUGCCAGAAGCCAUUCUUCGAUAGACCUAAGUCUUGGGAUUGGGUAAUGGUAGUGUGUCGUAUGCUAUAGCUCAUGGGCCUACAAGGCCGGAACUACUUUUUUAUUCCAAAAUGGCGGAUUAACUAUCAUCGCCUAUUCAGGAAAAACAUCACAGACUGUUUCCGAAAAAAUCUAUUUUUACACAGUUUUAGGUGUCACUCUUUUCGCCUGGUUUAAACAUCUACGGAGAGGGUACCUUCUGAUGCGGCCUAGCUUUGGCUGUUUUAUGACGACUCCUAGAUUCAGACGAGAAAGUCGCCAGCUACAUGUACCUGUAAUAUUUUAAAAAUGCUGACAUCAUCCAAAUUUCUGCUGAAGUAGCUGCAUUUCAAGCAUUUGUCCAAAAUAAUGUCAACGCUUUGGUCGUGGAUUUCGCUUUCUCUGAAAUACUUACAAACGUUUAGAGAUCUUCAGUUUCCCGAAAAUUAUUCAUGAGCAAUAUUGAUAUCUUUUGCAAGAUAUCAAACAACUUCAAAAGCCACACCGUGUUUCGCACAUUAUCAGCUACAAAGCAAUUCAAAGAAGCCUGCAAAGGCGUCCUGCAGCCACAGCAUAUUCCUGGAACGCCUGGAUGUUCUUUUUAUUCAAGGCCUAAACAGCAUUUGUUUCCUAGGCUGUCAGUAAGGUACUUAAACCCAGCUUGGUGUGGAUAUUUGAACAAGACAAUGGAUUUUACAGACCUAUAAAACAGAAAAAAGGAGAUCAGAACAGAAAAUUAAAACGAAACAGCACAGACAUUUUUAAAAUAUAAAAAUUAUACAAUUAUUAGUGAUUACGGUUAUUAAUUAAGGACUGUACAAUACGUUUCUAUCAUGAUUGCAUAACAUUGUAAAUAGAACGGAGUGUAAAUCUCACUGAAUCAAUAUUUACAUAAAUUGCCAUUUACCUUUCUAUUUUACAAAUUCUCUGUAUUUUUGAUUAGUUUGUUUGCGAUCACGUCCAUCCAUCAUGCAUGUUUGCUGUUAUGUUUCAAAGACUAUUAUCAUGACAAAUGACUUAUCAAAAGCUAUGUUAAUGUUUUUAUUUAUAGAAGCUAUCUUCUCUUUAAUCUGGCUUUGCAUUGAGUAAAACCACUACAAACACCAAACAAAAAAUGCAAAAAUCAUAGAACAUUAAUACGCAUAAAAUUAAUAUUAAUUUUUACCAUGAAUAACAUUUAAAAUUAAAUACAUGCAUUAUAAAUUGAAUACAUUCAUUAUAAUCAAGAUUAUUUGAAUUUAUAGUUCUAUAUAAAUACACGAGAUAAGACUCAAGUGUUUAUAAUUUUUGUCUGUUAAUAUGGAGGCGAACUAAUUUGAAUCAUCUGUGUAAGACGCAACACGUGCGUUCUAUUGUCCGCUGGACAUAAACGUCAAAGCACGUGAUUUACGUGUACAGACCAAAGAGCCCGCUUCCUGGAAGUUGGGCCUCCGGAAAUCGAAUGCACGGAUUUUAUUUCUUUUUCUGAAAGGAUAAUUUCUUCAGUUCGGAAAUAGACAGUUUUAUGCUGUUUUCAUUUCCAGUCAGAAGACACCGUAGACCGAAUAAGAAAUUAUUCCAGAAUGUUUAAACAUAGUUAUGAGGGAACGGCGAUGAAAGGGAGGAAACUCCGUAGUUAAGUAUGUUAUAUCCGCAGGAGUUACCCACCCUUACACGAGUAAAACUGGUUCAUUGAAUAAUCAAUAGUUGGGGGAAAGAAUUGGAGAAAGGAAAAUUAAAUUUAGAUAUAAGUAUAGAUCAUUACUGUGGUUAUGAUUUAUGGAAAUACUGAUAAUAAAACUAUCACAUCGGGCGAUU